AAUCAACGCUGGCGGCGUGCCUAACACAUGCAAGUCGAACGCGAAAGUGGAGCAAUCCAUGAGUAGAGUGGCAAACGGGUGAGUAACGCGUUGGUGACCUGCCUUCGAGUGGGGGAUAACGUUCCGAAAGGGACGCUAAUACCGCAUGACAUCCGGCCUUUGAAGAGGCGGAGAUCAAAGCUGGGGAUCGCAAGACCUAGCGCUCGAUGAGGGGCCCGCGUCUGAUUAGCUAGUUGGUGGGGUAACGGCUCACCAAGGCAACGAUCAGUA
Molecule: ribosomal RNA, 270 nt
Filed under: uncultured bacterium
Lineage: Bacteria
Description: partial 16S ribosomal RNA
Rfam family: Bacterial small subunit ribosomal RNA
Source: RNAcentral